This is a long non-coding RNA of Pieris brassicae (large cabbage white), 799 nucleotides long. RefSeq lists it as uncharacterized. NCBI's taxonomy places the organism in Eukaryota, Metazoa, Arthropoda, Insecta, Lepidoptera, Pieridae. The record is from RefSeq and is a predicted model, not a curated record. The transcript has 3 exons.
CCCUCAGUGGUAGCUGCCGCCACAGUAACUACUGCCAGUACAUCGGGGACGGGAUCCUCGGGGCCAAAGCCGCCCUCGUCAACGACGGAGAUAGCCGCGGUUGCCGAGGAGACAGGGGGGAGUGAAUUCAGCGACAGCUGUUUGCGCUCCUCCCCCUAACCGGACUGACCUUAUCCAGACCAACCUCCAGCACAGCCAAACAGCGUCGGCUUCACUACGCAGACUGCUGGAGACCAACCCGAAGACCAUUGCCGCGAUCCAGGAGCCGUGGAUCAGGAAUGGCAAGGUAUGCGGCCUGGGUAACACCGGUGGUAAACUUUUGCUGGAUACCUCAGGACCUUACAACCAUUAGGUUACCUAGGGACGCACAUCCAGACAUCGUCCUGGCGUCCGCCUACCUACCGGGUGACGAGGACGUGCCCACUCCAGAACUCGGCCUUCUGGCUGACUACUGUGAGAGGGAGAAACUGGAGCUUAUAAUCGCAGCAGACUCCAACGCGCACCACACGCUAUGGGGUAAUGCAAAUACCAACGCUCGAGGUGAGAAUAUGCUUAACUUCAUUCUUAGCAAUAAUCUUAUCUUAGCAAACAGCGGCUCUGAACCAACCUUUAUCAACGCACGCUCGCAAACCAUAAUCGAUCUAACAAUGGUGACCUCUGGUCUGUCAGAUCACAUACAGGAUUGGCAUGUCUCCAGAGAGCUAUCAUGCUCAGAUCACAGGUGGAUCCGCUUUACAAUCAAAGGGGAGCUACCUAAACCACAACCACGACGCAUACCUCGGAGAACUGAUUCAGUAAA